UAUGGUCAUAGCUUAUUUCAGCCGUGCAGGGCUCUUCUCCUGGCAGUUUAGGCCAAUCCACUUCUUCCUGGCUCUGUACCUGGCCAAUGACAUGGAGGAGGACAACCAGGCCCCUAAACAAGACAUUUUUUACUUCCUCUAUGGGAAGAGCUAUGCCCAGCGCCCCAUGUUCCACAAACUGCGGUUCCAGCUCAUUCGGUCCAUGGGCUGGAGGAUCUGGGUAUCCCGGGAGGAGUGUGAAGAGAUCCAGGCUUACAACCCAGAGCUGUGGGUGUGGGCACGAGAUCGCACCAACUUGAACUUAGAACCAUAAAUCCAUAGAGGCUUGAAGUCAUCGGCCUGAGGAAGGUAUGUUGGUGUUCUCUGAGGUGUGGAGUCCUGUCUG
Molecule: non-coding RNA, 385 nt
Organism: Peromyscus maniculatus bairdii (prairie deer mouse)
Lineage: Eukaryota; Metazoa; Chordata; Mammalia; Rodentia; Cricetidae
Source: RefSeq, a predicted model, not a curated record